CGCCAAGACUCCUACGGGAGGCAGCAGUGGGGAAUAUUGCACAAUGGGGGAAACCCUGAUGCAGCCAUGCCGCGUGUGUGAAGAAGGCCUUCGGGUUGUAAAGCACUUUCAGUAGGGAGGAAGGUAGUGUAGUUAACACCUGCACUAUUUGACGUUACCUACAGAAGAAGCACCGGCUAACUCCGUGCCAGCAGCCGCGGUAAUACGGAGGGUGCGAGCGUUAAUCGGAAUUACUGGGCGUAAAGCGCAUGCAGGCGGCCUGUUAAGUCAGAUGUGAAAGCCCGGGGCUUAACCUCGGAAUUGCAUUUGAAACUGGCAGGCUAGAGUCUUGUAGAGGGGGUAGAAUUUCAGGUGUAGCGGUGAAAUGCGUAGAGAUCUGAAGGAAUACCAGUGGCGAAGGCGGCCCCCUGGACAAAGACUGACGCUCAGAUGCGAAAGCGUGGGGAGCAAACAGGAUUAGAUACCCUGGUAG
This 472-nucleotide ribosomal RNA is filed under the name uncultured bacterium. RNAcentral describes it as "bacterial SSU rRNA". It matches the Rfam family "Bacterial small subunit ribosomal RNA", at positions 328 to 793 of the family's 1533-position model. The record is from RNAcentral.